UAUGAAUAUAGUAUCUCUGAAUAGUGGGAAUGUUAUAAACACUCGUAUGAUCCAUGGGUCCUUUACAAAUACCUUUUAGAUUCUUUACUAAUACCCCUAAUGGUAUAAUUGAAAAUUUUAAUCAAAUUAUAAAUCAUAUAAUUCCUCUUUUAAUCUUCCACCAUCGUCCAUUCUUCAUUAAUUCACAAAUCUCACAAAAAUGCUUCAUCUCUCCUUCAACCACCACCACCAUCACCAUCUCAAUCACAACCACCAUAACUAUCACCACCACCUCCAUCACUGCAGCUAUUAGCAGAUCUGUUACGUUUUGUACUUUUGAUUUAGAUUUGUUAUCAAUUGUUCUUCAUCUUCUUAGGUUAAAAUAAAUAUUGAAAUCAUAUUCAGAGAACAGUUUUAUACGAUUCUCUCUUUCUUUGCCAUUACUCCUGAAUCAAAUCUCAAAAUCAUCAGGAGCAGCAGUUCUUCUGCUUUUUCUUCGUUGAAGAUUCAGGAGAAAUCGUCAUCAUGUAAAAGAUAAGGAAAAAUUGGAAAUUUGGUCGUUGAUGUUGUUGGUGGAUGCCGGUGGUGGUUUGGUGGUUCACAGUAAUAUGGGAUGUUUGGUUUUUGAUGAGCUUAAGAAUUUGCCAGUAUUCAUUUUGGUCUUUUUUGUCAAUUGAAUGAAAAAUGUUAUUUUGAUUGUUUAGGAACCUAGCUUAAUUGGGGGCCAUCGGAAUUAAUCGGCGGCCAUACACCAGAGGAUAAAAAAGGUCACCAGAACCUAAUUUGGGCCACCCCUUAUAAAAAUAUUUUUUAAAUGACUAAAAUGCUCCUAAAUGAUUAGUGUUAAAAUUUAAUUAAUUAGUGAUAAU
Molecule: long non-coding RNA, 848 nt
Organism: Papaver somniferum (opium poppy)
Lineage: Eukaryota; Viridiplantae; Streptophyta; Magnoliopsida; Ranunculales; Papaveraceae
Exons: 2
Source: RefSeq, a predicted model, not a curated record